GUAGCAUCAGUCAGGGACCCAGCUUCUCCCUUGCAGAGUUCCUGCCAGACUGCAGCGUAUCCCUGGGCACUCCCUCUGCACAGUGAGAGCACGAGAUGGACAGGGAGCAGGGGCCUGACCGCUGAGACCAUUGGACCGCUGCAGCAACAGGCCCACAAGGAGUGGAAGGAUUUCUUCCCCCUCACCCAUGCUGGGAUUACCUAGCAUCCCUCUUCUCCACUCAUUGCCCUGCAUUUUUGGUGGCUAGUGAUUUUUAAAAAAAUUUGGAACACUAAUAUUCCUGGGAAAUUUUAAAUUAA
Molecule: long non-coding RNA, 299 nt
Organism: Gopherus evgoodei (Goodes thornscrub tortoise)
Lineage: Eukaryota; Metazoa; Chordata; Testudines; Testudinidae
Exons: 3
Source: RefSeq, a predicted model, not a curated record